This 406-nucleotide ribosomal RNA is filed under the name uncultured bacterium. RNAcentral describes it as "partial 16S ribosomal RNA". It matches the Rfam family "Bacterial small subunit ribosomal RNA", at positions 29 to 526 of the family's 1533-position model. The record is from RNAcentral.
AUUGAACGCUGGCGGCAGGCCUAACACAUGCAAGUCGAACGAGUGGCGGACGGGUGAGUAAUGUCUGGGAAACUGCCCGAUGGAGGGGGAUAACUACUGGAAACGGUAGCUAAUACCGCAUACCAUCGGAUGUGCCCAGAUGGGAUUAGCUUGUAGGUGAGGUAACGGCUCACCUAGGCGACGAUCCCUAGCUGGGCUGAGAGGAUGACCAGGCAAACUGGAACUGAGACACGGUCGAGACUCCUAGGGGAGGCAGCAGUGGGGAAUAGGGUACAAGGGGCGCAAGAAUGAGGCAGCCAUGCGGCGUGUAUGAAGAAGGCCUUCGGGUUGUAAAGUACGUGAAGCGGGGAGGCGGGACCCGCAGAAGAAGCACCGGCUAACUCCGUGCCAGCAGCCGCGGUAAUAC